This 468-nucleotide ribosomal RNA is filed under the name uncultured bacterium. RNAcentral's name for it is "partial 16S ribosomal RNA". It matches the Rfam family "Bacterial small subunit ribosomal RNA", at positions 28 to 507 of the family's 1533-position model. The record is from RNAcentral.
GACGAACGCUGGCGGCGUGCUUAACACAUGCAAGUCGAACGGAAAGGCUCUGCUUUUGUGGGGUGCUCGAGUGGCGAACGGGUGAGUAACACGUGAGUAACCUGCCCUUGACUUUGGGAUGACUUCAGGAAACUGGGGCUAAUACCGGAUAGGAGCUCCUGCUGCAUGGUGGGGGUUGGAAAGUUUCGGCGGUUGGGGAUGGACUCGCGGCUUAUCAGCUUGUUGGUGGGGUAGUGGCUUACCAAGGCUGUGACGGGUAGCCGGCCUGAGAGGGUGACCGGCCACAUUACGACUGAGAUACGGCACAGACUCCUACGGGAGGCAGCAGUGGGGAAUCUUGCACAAUGGGCGGAAGCCUGAUGCAGCAACGCCGCGUGCGGGAUGACGGCCUUCGGGUUGUGAACCGCUUUCGCCUGUGACGAAGCGUGAGUGACGGUAAUGGGUAAAGAAGCACCGGCUAACUACGUG